UUUGGCCUCAAAAUAAGUUUC
This 21-nucleotide non-coding RNA is filed under the name Caenorhabditis elegans. Lineage: Eukaryota; Metazoa; Nematoda; Chromadorea; Rhabditida; Rhabditidae. The record is from RNAcentral.